RNAcentral lists this ribosomal RNA (253 nucleotides) under uncultured bacterium. RNAcentral's name for it is "partial 16S ribosomal RNA". It matches the Rfam family "Bacterial small subunit ribosomal RNA", at positions 524 to 776 of the family's 1533-position model. The record is from RNAcentral.
UACGUAGGUGGCAAGCGUUAUCCGGAAUUACUGGGCGUAAAGAGCGCGCAGGCGGUCGUUCAAGUCGCGUGUGAAAGCCCCCGGCUCAACUGGGGAGGGUCACGCGAUACUGAUCGACUCGAAGGCAGGAGAGGAUAGUGGAAUUCCCGGUGUAGUGGUGAAAUGCGUAGAUAUCGGGAAGAACACCCGUGGCGAAGGCGGCUCUCUGGGACGGUACUGACGCUGAGACGCGAAAGCGUGGGGAGCGAACAGG